Molecule: ribosomal RNA, 253 nt
Filed under: uncultured bacterium
Lineage: Bacteria
Description: partial 16S ribosomal RNA
Rfam family: Bacterial small subunit ribosomal RNA
Source: RNAcentral
UACGGAGGGUGCAAACGUUGCUCGGAAUCAUUGGGCGUAAAGCGCACGUAGGCGGACUGUUAAGUCGGAUGUGAAAUCCCUCAGCUUAACUGAGGAAGUGCAUUCGAAACUGGCAGUCUUGAGUAUGGAAGAGGGUCGCGGAAUUCCUGGUGUAGCGGUGAAAUGCGCAGAUAUCAGGAGGAACACCAGCGGCGAAGGCGGCGCUCUGGGCCGGAACUGACGCUGAGGAGCGAAAGCGUGGGUAGCAAACAGG